Nanorana parkeri is the source of this 93-nucleotide long non-coding RNA. RefSeq lists it as uncharacterized. The record is from RefSeq and is a predicted model, not a curated record. The transcript is spliced from 3 exons. Lineage: Eukaryota; Metazoa; Chordata; Amphibia; Anura; Dicroglossidae.
CUUGGGUCGCAACUUAAUGACCAAGGACAAACGUGGGUCCUGAGGUUACACGGGUUGAAAACCACUGGUCUAAAAUUUGAAAGCACCCAUAAA